RNAcentral lists this ribosomal RNA (301 nucleotides) under uncultured bacterium. Its description in RNAcentral is "partial 16S ribosomal RNA". It matches the Rfam family "Bacterial small subunit ribosomal RNA", at positions 509 to 807 of the family's 1533-position model. The record is from RNAcentral.
CAUCCGCCGCGGUAAUACGAAGGGUGCAAGCGUUACUCGGAAUUACUGGGCGUAAAGCGUGCGUAGGUGGUGGUUUAAGUCCGUUGUGAAAGCCCUGGGCUCAACCUGGGAAUUGCAGUGGAUACUGGGUCACUAGAGUGUGGUAGAGGAUAGUGGAAUUUCCGGUGUAGCAGUGAAAUGCGUAGAGAUCGGAAGGAACAUCUGUGGCGAAGGCGACUAUCUGGGCCAACACUGACACUGAGGCACGAAAGCGUGGGGAGCAAACAGGAUUAGAUACCCGUGUAGUCCCUGUCUCUUAUAC